GCGGAUGGCCGGAUGACCGCGUGGGGGCAACCCUGCGAGGAAAGUCCGGACUCCAUGAGGCAAGGGUGCCGGGUAACGCCCGGCCGGGGCAACCCGAGGGAAAGCGCCACAGAGAACAGUCUGCCCCAUCGGCCGCAAGGUCCGGGGUGAUGGUGAAACGGCGGGGUAAGAGCCCACCGCAGGUCUGGCAACAGAACUGGCACGGCAAGCCCCACCCGGAGCAAUGCCGAAUAGGGGCCUCGCGUGGGCUGGUCAUCGGGUGCAAGCCCGAAGAUACCGCCACAGGGACGCUUCAGCCCAGAGGCCCGGGUUGGCAGCUAGAUCCCGCCGGUAACGGCGGGGCCAGAGGAAUGGUCAUCGAAGGGACGCAAGUCCUGGAACAAAAUCCGGCUUACAGGCCAUCCGCGCAU
This 410-nucleotide RNase P RNA is filed under the name Rhodobacter ferrooxidans. Its description in RNAcentral is "Rhodobacter sp. SW2 Bacterial RNase P class A". It matches the Rfam family "Bacterial RNase P class A". Rfam says of the family: Ribonuclease P (RNase P) is a ubiquitous endoribonuclease, found in archaea, bacteria and eukarya as well as chloroplasts and mitochondria. Its best characterised activity is the generation of mature 5'-ends of tRNAs by cleaving the 5'-leader elements of precursor-tRNAs. Cellular RNase Ps are ribonucleoproteins. The record is from Rfam by way of RNAcentral. Lineage: Bacteria; Pseudomonadati; Pseudomonadota; Alphaproteobacteria; Rhodobacterales.